Molecule: ribosomal RNA, 229 nt
Filed under: uncultured bacterium
Lineage: Bacteria
Description: partial 16S ribosomal RNA
Rfam family: Bacterial small subunit ribosomal RNA
Source: RNAcentral
CGGGGUGAGUAAUGUCUGGGAAACUGCCUGAUGGAGGGGGAUAACUACUGGAAACGGUAGCUAAUACCGCAUAACGUCUUCGGACCAAAGUGGGGGACCCUCGGGCCUCACGCCAUCGGAUGUGCCCAGAUGGGAUUAGCUAGUAGGUGGGGUAAUGGCUCACCUAGGCGACGAUCCCUAGCUGGUCUGAGAGGAUGACCAGCCACACUGGAACUGAGACACGGUCCAG